Molecule: ribosomal RNA, 301 nt
Filed under: uncultured bacterium
Lineage: Bacteria
Description: partial 16S ribosomal RNA
Rfam family: Bacterial small subunit ribosomal RNA
Source: RNAcentral
CAGUAGCCGCGGUAAUACGUAGGGUGCAAGCGUUAAUCGGAAUUACUGGGCGUAAAGCGUGCGCAGGCGGUUAUAUAAGUCAGAUGUGAAAUCCCCGGGCUCAACCUGGGAACUGCAUUUGAGACUGUAUGGCUAGAGUGUGUCAGAGGGGGUAGAAUUCCACGUGUAGCAGUGAAAUGCGUAGAUAUGUGGAGGAAUACCGAUGGCGAAGGCAGCCCCCUGGGAUAACACUGACGCUCAUGCACGAAAGCGUGGGGAGCAAACAGGAUUAGAUACCCCGGUAGUCCCUGUCUCUUAUACA